GACGAACGCUGGCGGCGCGCUUAACACAUGCAAGUCGAACGGAAAGGCCUGCUUUCCCUUGUGGAUUGCGGGUACUCGAGUGGCGAACGGGUGAGUAACACGUGAGUGAUCUGCCCCCAACUUGGGUAUAAGCCUGGGAAACUGGGUCUAAUUCCCGAUAGGACUGCAGGGUGGUGCCUGUGGUGGAAAACGAUUUUCUAGUGGUUGGGGAUGAGCUCGCGGCCUAUCGGCUUGUUGGUGGGGUAAUGGCCUACCAAGGCGGCGACGGGUAGCCGGCUGAGAGGGUGGACGGCCACAUUGGGACUGAGAUACGGCCCAGACUCCUACGGGAGGCAGCAGUGGGGAAUAUUGCACAAUGGGCGGAAGCCUGAUGCAGCGACGCCGCGUGGGGGAUGACGGCCUUCGGGUUGUAAACUCCUUUCGACCGCGAGGAAGCCACCUGGUUGGAAGGGUGGUGACGGUAGUGGUAGAAGAAGCACCGGCUAACUACGUG
RNAcentral lists this ribosomal RNA (493 nucleotides) under uncultured bacterium. RNAcentral's name for it is "partial 16S ribosomal RNA". It matches the Rfam family "Bacterial small subunit ribosomal RNA", at positions 28 to 507 of the family's 1533-position model. The record is from RNAcentral.